CCCUAAGCCACCGUUUGGUUCAGGGUUAAGAAAAAAUAGCUAUUCCAGGAAUAACGUUAAGUUCAGGAUUAAAAAAGUGUUAAAAUUUUUUUAUGUUUGGUUGGAGGUUGGAGUUAGUCUAGGAUAGUGAAAAAAAGUAUUUGGUUGAAGUAGGUGGGAUAAGAAGAUAAUGAUUGAUAAAGAAGAAAAAGGUGAGGGCUCGGGAUGCGUGCGGGGUUAAAGUUGGGAGGGGGAGUGGGAUUAAUGAUUGAUAAAGAAGAAAAAGGUGAGGACUCGGGAUGCGUGCGGAGUUAAAGUUGGGAGGGGGAGUGGGGUUAGUAAACCCCACCCCAAACCGGGUUAGUGGGGUUUACUAACCCCAUCCCUUAAAAGUGGUGUUUGGGUAUAAAUUGGGGGUUAAGGGGUUAUUCCACCCCUUAACCCCCAACCAAACGGUGG
RNAcentral lists this long non-coding RNA (438 nucleotides) under Ananas comosus (pineapple). RNAcentral describes it as "long non-coding RNA (ACOM_LNC039381)". The record is from RNAcentral. Lineage: Eukaryota; Viridiplantae; Streptophyta; Magnoliopsida; Poales; Bromeliaceae.